AUCAAAUACCACUAGUGGUACUGUUUUAUAGGUAACAGCUUUUUUUAGUAUUAUAAAGUAUAUUUAAGAGGUCCCAUCUCCGAAAGGGGGAUCGCUUGAAACUGCUGUUAUCAUUUUUAUUAGAUUACCUAAUAAAAAGCAUAUAUACAUUAGUAUAUAAUUUUCAUACAGUUGUUUUUCUGGGGCGGAGGCUCGUUAAAAAGUAACGCGAGCAAACAAAGGCUUAGAUAAAUCUCAACUGGAUAACUAAGCUUAACUGUAAGGAUCACACUCCGAGCAGGUGUAUUUUUAUAUGUAAUAUAUAGAAUAAAGCAGGUAGUAAUGACCCACUAUUAAAUUUAAUUAAAUAGUGAACAACGGACAAAAGGUACGCCAGGGAUAACAGGCUAGUGCGCACCAAGAGUUCAUAUCGACGUGCGCGUUCGGCACCUCGAUGUUGGAUCAUCGCGUCCUGAGGCUGUACAAGGUCUCAAGGGUUGGACUGUUCGUCCAUUAAAGCGGUACGUGAUCUGAGUUCAGAACGUUGCGAGACAGUUCGGUUUCUAUCUGUGUUUGCUAAUAAAUAAAUAAUUUAAGCUUAAAUUAGCUUUAUACUUAAAAGUAUAAAGCUUAAUUCAAACUGAUUUAUUUAAAAAGUAUAAAGUGUAUAGGGGUAUGAGUACGAAAGGACCAAUAUCCCCUAAACCUCUGGUGUAUUUGUUGUCUUAAUAAGAGGCAUCGCAAAGAAGCUACGUUUAUAAUUUUUAUGCACCUAAUACUAUUUUUCUACUUCCUUGUAGAUUUCCCUGUAAGUUAUUAUCAAAGUAAACUUAUAAUGAAUAACC
Molecule: ribosomal RNA, 824 nt
Filed under: Limnomonas spitsbergensis
Lineage: Eukaryota; Viridiplantae; Chlorophyta; Chlorophyceae; Chlamydomonadales
Description: large subunit ribosomal RNA
Rfam family: Bacterial large subunit ribosomal RNA (bases 1-549)
Source: RNAcentral